GCAGAUGUCUAUCGUUUCCUACGGUAAAGAAAAGCCGGCAGUGCUGGGCCAUGACGAAGCGGCCUAUUCUAAGAACCGCCGCGCCGUACUGGUCUACUAAGAGAACGUCAUGAACGGUAAUUUCAGAUGUUGUGUACUC
Molecule: non-coding RNA, 139 nt
Organism: Leminorella grimontii
Lineage: Bacteria; Pseudomonadati; Pseudomonadota; Gammaproteobacteria; Enterobacterales; Budviciaceae
Source: Rfam